GAUGAACGCUGGCGGCGCGCUUAACACAUGCAAGUCGAACGGAAAGGCUCCUGCUUGCAGGGGUACUCGAGUGGCGAACGGGUGAGUAACACGUGGGUGAUCUGCCCUGCACUUCGGGAUAAGCCUGGGAAACUGGGUCUAAUACCGGAUAGGACGAUGGUUUGGAUGCCAUUGUGGAAAGUUUUUCGGUGUGGGAUGAGCUCGCGGCCUAUCAGCUUGUUGGUGGGGUAAUGGCCUACCAAGGCGUCGACGGGUAGCCGGCCUGAGAGGGUGUACGGCCACAUUGGGACUGAGAUACGGCCCAGACUCCUACGGGAGGCAGCAGUGGGGAAUAUUGCACAAUGGGCGCAAGCCUGAUGCAGCGACGCCGCGUGGGGGAUGACGGCCUUCGGGUUGUAAACUCCUUUCGCUAGGGACGAAGCGCAAGUGACGGUACCUGGAGAAGAAGCACCGGCUAACUACGUG
RNAcentral lists this ribosomal RNA (465 nucleotides) under uncultured bacterium. RNAcentral's name for it is "partial 16S ribosomal RNA". It matches the Rfam family "Bacterial small subunit ribosomal RNA", at positions 28 to 507 of the family's 1533-position model. The record is from RNAcentral.